Molecule: ribosomal RNA, 328 nt
Filed under: uncultured eukaryote
Lineage: Eukaryota
Description: partial 18S ribosomal RNA
Rfam family: Eukaryotic small subunit ribosomal RNA
Source: RNAcentral
CCCUUAGAUGUCCUGGGCCGCACGCGCGUUACACUGAUGCAUUCAACGAGCUUAUAACCUUGGCCGAGAGGCCUGGGCAAUCUUGUUAACGUGCAUCGUGAUAGGGAUAGAUUAUUGAAAUUAUUAAUCUUGAACGAGGAAUUCCUAGUAAACGCAGAUCAUCAAUCUGCAUUGAUUACGUCCCUGCCCUUUGUACACCCCGCCCGUCGCACCUACCGAUUGGAUGGUCCGGUGAAGCCUCGGGAUUGUGGUUCUUGCCGCUUUAUUGUGGCGUGACCGCGAGAACUUGUCUAAACCUUAUCAUCUAGAGGAAGGUGAAGUCGUAACA